Molecule: long non-coding RNA, 910 nt
Organism: Oryctolagus cuniculus (rabbit)
Lineage: Eukaryota; Metazoa; Chordata; Mammalia; Lagomorpha; Leporidae
Source: RefSeq, a predicted model, not a curated record
UCCCAGCUACGGAGGCAGAGGCAGAAGCCAAGGUGUCAGGAGGCUGUCCUCUCCCGGAGGCUCAGAGGAGGCUGCCUGGCUGCGUCUGCCUUCCGGUGGUGGCCGACAAUUUCCGCUGCUCCUUGGCUGGCGGCCGCCCCGCCCCAGUCCCUGCCUCCAGUGCCACCUGCCCGCCUGUCCUGUGUGUCUGUGGCUCUAGGUCCAGCAGUCAUAUCGGACUGAGGGCUCACCCUUUGCUUUCGGCAUCUGCAAAGAUUCUAUUUCCAAAUAAGCUGAACUGUGUGCGUCAGACCGAUCACUACUUGGAUGAAUGGGCUCAUUUAGUAGCUGGGGGUCUCCGCUCUCCCGGGCAGCCACAGCAGAUUCGACUCCAAGCACAACAGAACAGAUAGCCUACUGUUAGCCACAGGUGUACGAAGAGGCAGGCACGUGUCUAAGUCAUCUACCUGGAUGAAUACAGUUAGGCCUUUACAGAAGAGGGAAUUGAGGCACAGGAUAUCAGCCGCGAAGCAGCAGGUGCAGGUUGGACCCAGGGGAUCCCAUGCCACCUCCUCUACUAAAUUUCAUCCAUGAAGCUACAAGGGAGGGCGUUGCAGUCUUAAGAACUAGGAGUGUUGGGAGCCGACUCCGUGGCACAGUAGGUUAAUCCUCCACCUGUGGUGCCGGCAUCCCAUCGGGCACCAGUUCUAGUCCCGGCUGCCCCUCUUCCAGUCCAGCUCUCUGCUGUGGCCUGGGAAAGCAGCAGAAGAUGGCCCAAGUCCUGAGCCCCUGCACCCGCAUGGGAGACCUGGAAGAAGCUCCUGGCUCCUGGCUCCUGGCUUCAGAUUGGCGCAGCUCUGGUCGUUGCCACCAUCUGGGGAGUGAACCAACGGAAGGAAGACCUUUCUCUCUGUCUCUCCCUCUCACUGUC